GAUGAACGCUGGCGGCGUGCCUAAUACAUGCAAGUCGAGCGAACGGACGAGAAGCUUGCUUCUCUGAUGUUAGCGGCGGACGGGUGAGUAACACGUGGAUAACCUACCUAUAAGACUGGGAUAACUUCGGGAAACCGGAGCUAAUACCGGAUAAUAUUUUGAACCGCAUGGUUCAAAAGUGAAGGACGGUCUUGCUGUCACUUAUAGAUGGAUCCGCGCUGCAUUAGCUAGUUGGUAAGGUAACGGCUUACCAAGGCAACGAUGCAUAGCCGACCUGAGAGGGUGAUCGGCCACACUGGAACUGAGACACGGUCCAGACUCCUACGGGAGGCAGCAGUAGGGAAUCCUCCGCAAUGGGCGAAAGCCUGACGGAGCAACGCCGCGUGAGUGAUGAAGGUCUUCGGAUCGUAAAACUCUGUUAUUAGGGAAGAACAUAUGUGUAAGUAACUGUGCACAUCUUGACGGUACCUAAUCAGAAAGCCACGGCUAACUACGUGCCAGCAGCCGCGGUAAUACGUAGGUGGCAAGCGUUAUCCGGAAUUAUUGGGCGUAAAGCGCGCGUAGGCGGUUUUUUAAGUCUGAUGUGAAAGCCCACGGCUCAACCGUGGAGGGUCAUUGGAAACUGGAAAACUUGAGUGCAGAAGAGGAAAGUGGAAUUCCAUGUGUAGAGGUGAAAUGCGCAGAGAUAUGGAGGAACACCAGUGGCGAAGGCGACUUUCUGGUCUGUAACUGACGCUGAUGUGCGAAAGCGUGGGGAUCAAACAGGAUUAGAUACCCUGGUAGUCCACGCCGUAAACGAUGAGUGCUAAGUGUUAGGGGGUUUCCGCCCCUUAGUGCUGCAGCUAACGCAUUAAGCACUCCGCCUGGGGAGUACGACCGCAAGGUUGAAACUCAAAGGAAUUGACGGGGACCCGCACAAGCGGUGGAGCAUGUGGUUUAAUUCGAAGCAACGCGAAGAACCUUACCAAAUCUUGACAUCCUUUGACAACUCUAGAGAUAGAGCCUUCCCCUUCGGGGGGGCAAAGUGACAGGUGGUGCAUGGUUGUCGUCAGCUCGUGUCGUGAGAUGUUGGGUUAAGUCCCGCAACGAGCGCAACCCUUAAGCUUAGUUGCCAUCAUUAAGUUGGGCACUCUAAGUUGACUGCCGGUGACAAACCGGAGGAAGGUGGGGAUGACGUCAAAUCAUCAUGCCCCUUAUGAUUUGGGCUACACACGUGCUACAAUGGACAAUACAAAGGGCAGCGAAACCGCGAGGUCAAGCAAAUCCCAUAAAGUUGUUCUCAGUUCGGAUUGUAGUCUGCAACUCGACUACAUGAAGCUGGAAUCGCUAGUAAUCGUAGAUCAGCAUGCUACGGUGAAUACGUUCCCGGGUCU
Molecule: ribosomal RNA, 1373 nt
Filed under: uncultured bacterium
Lineage: Bacteria
Description: bacterial SSU rRNA
Rfam family: Bacterial small subunit ribosomal RNA
Source: RNAcentral